AGAGUUUGAUCCUGGCUUAGGAUGAACGCUAGCUACAGGCUUAACACAUGCAAGUCGAGGGGCAGCAUUGGAGUAGCAAUACUCAGAUGGCGGCCGGCGCACGGGUGAGUAACACGUAUCCAACCUGCCGCUUACUCGGGGAUAGCCUUUCGAAAGAAAGAUUAAUACCCGAUGGUAUAAAGAGUUCGCAUGUUCUCUUUAUUAAAGAAUUUCGGUAAGCGAUGGGGAUGCGUUCCAUUAGAUAGUUGGCGGGGUAACGGCCCACCAAGUCUACGAUGGAUAGGGGUUCUGAGAGGAAGGUCCCCCACAUUGGAACUGAGACACGGUCCAAACUCCUACGGGAGGCAGCAGUGAGGAAUAUUGGUCAAUGGACGAGAGUCUGAACCAGCCAAAAGUAGCGUGAAGGAUGACUGCCCUAUGGGUUGUAAACUUCUUUUAUAAGGGAAUAAAGUGAGGGACGUGUCCCUUUUUGUAUGUACCUUAUGAAUAAGGAUCGGCUAACUCCGUGCCAGCCGCCGC
This 519-nucleotide ribosomal RNA is filed under the name uncultured bacterium. RNAcentral describes it as "bacterial SSU rRNA". It matches the Rfam family "Bacterial small subunit ribosomal RNA", at positions 8 to 518 of the family's 1533-position model. The record is from RNAcentral.